This 1150-nucleotide ribosomal RNA is filed under the name uncultured soil eukaryote. Its description in RNAcentral is "SSU rRNA". It matches the Rfam family "Eukaryotic small subunit ribosomal RNA", at positions 538 to 1808 of the family's 1831-position model. The record is from RNAcentral.
CGAGGAACAAUUGGAGGGCAAGUCUGGUGCCAGCAGCCGCGGUAAUUCCAGCUCCAAUAGCGUAUAUUAAAGUUGUUGCAGUUAAAAAGCUCGUAGUUUGACCUAGGGUCCGGUCAGCUGGUCCGCCUCACCGCGAGUACUAGUUUGACUGGGCCUUUUCUUCUGGGGAACUGCAUGGCCUUCACUGGCUGUGUUAGGGAACCAGGACUUUUACUUUGAAAAAAUUAGAGUGUUCAAAGCAGGCCUUUGCUCGAAUACAUUAGCAUGGAAUAAUAGAAUAAGACGGCUUUCUUAUUUUGUUGGUUUCUAAGAGAGCCGUAAUGAUUAAUAGGGAUAGUCGGGGGCGUCCGUAUUCGAUUGUCAGAGGUGAAAUUCUUGGAUUUUUCGAAGACGAACUACUGCGAAAGCAUUCGCCAAGGAUGUUUUCAUUAAUCAGUGAACGAAAGUGAGGGGAUCGAAGACGAUCAGAUACCGUCGUAGUCUUCACCGUAAACUAUGCCGACUAUGGAUCGGUCGGUGUUUUUUUGUUGACCCGAUCGGCACAUUACGAGAAAUCAAAGUUUUUGGGUUCUGGGGGGAGUAUAGUUGCAAGGCUGAAACUUAAAGAAAUUCAGAUUGAGAGCUCUUUCUUGAUUUUGUGGUUGGUGGUGCAUGGCCGUUCUUAGUUGGUGGAGUGAUUUGUCUGCUUAAUUGCGAUAACGAACGAGACCCUAUCCUGCUAAAUAGCCCGGCUGGCUUCUGCAAGUCGUUGGCUUCUUAGAGGGACUUUUGGCUCAAGCCAAAGGAAGGAGGGCAAUAACAGGUCUGUGAUGCCCUUAGAUGUCCUGGGCUGCACGCGCGCUACACUGACAGAGACAGCGAGUUCAUUCCUUGGCCGAAAGGCUUGGGUAAUCUUGUUAAACUCUGUCGUGCUGGGGAUAGGGCAUUGCAAUUAUUGCCCUUCAACGAGGAAUGCCUAGUAAGUUCGACUCAUCAGGUCGAGCUGAUUACGUCCCUGCCCUUUGUACACACCGCCCGUCGCUACUACCGAUUGAACGGCUCAGUGAGGCCAUCGGAUUGGCUCCAGUUGUUGGUAACGAUGACCAGAGCCGAAAAGUUGGUCAAACUUGGUCGUUUAGAGGAAGUAAAAGUCGUAACAAGGUUUCCGUAG